This 399-nucleotide ribosomal RNA is filed under the name uncultured bacterium. RNAcentral's name for it is "bacterial SSU rRNA". It matches the Rfam family "Bacterial small subunit ribosomal RNA", at positions 28 to 419 of the family's 1533-position model. The record is from RNAcentral.
GACGAACGCUGGCGGCGUGCUUAACACAUGCAAGUGGAGCGACGAACCAGGGCUUGCCCUGGGGCAAAGCCGCGAACGGGUGAGUAACACGUGGGUAACCUGCCCCGAAGACCGGGACAACCCGAGGAAACUCGGGCUAAUACCGGAUGUGGUUGCUCUUCAUAAGUAGAGCAAGCAAAGGAAGCUUCGGCCUCCGCUUCGGGAUGGGCCCGCGGCCCAUUAGCUUGUUGGUGAGGUAACGGCUCACCAAGGCUUCGAUGGGUAGCUGGUCUGAGAGGACGAUCAGCCACACUGGGACUGAGACACGGGCCCAGACUCCUACGGGAGGCAGCAGUGGGGAAUCUUGCGCAAUGGGCGACAGCCUGAUCCAGCAAUGCCGCGUGGAUGAAGAAGGUUUUC